This 427-nucleotide ribosomal RNA is filed under the name uncultured bacterium. RNAcentral's name for it is "bacterial SSU rRNA". It matches the Rfam family "Bacterial small subunit ribosomal RNA", at positions 355 to 774 of the family's 1533-position model. The record is from RNAcentral.
UGGGGAAUUUUGGACAAUGGACGCAAGUCUGAUCCAGCCAUGCCGCGUGCGGGAAGAAGGCCUUCGGGUUGUAAACCGCUUUUGUCAGGGAAGAAACGAGUUUCUCUAAUACAGAGACUUAAUGACGGUACCGUAAGAAUAAGCACCGGCUAACUACGUGCCAGCAGCCGCGGUAAUACGUAGGGUGCGAGCGUUAAUCGGAAUUACUGGGCGUAAAGCGUGCGCAGGCGGUUAUAUAAGACAGAUGUGAAAUCCCCGGGCUCAACCUGGGAACUGCCUUUGUGACUGCAUAGCUAGAGUACGGUAGAGGGGGAUGGAAUUCCGCGUGUAGCAGUGAAAUGCGUAGAUAUGCGGAGGAACACCGAUGGCGAAGGCAAUCCCCUGGACCUGUACUGACGCUCAUGCACGAAAGCGUGGGGAGCAAACA